AACGAACGCUGGCGGCAUGCCUAACACAUGCAAGUCGAACGAGACCUUCGGGUCUAGUGGCGCACGGGUGCGUAACGCGUGGGAACCUGCCCUUAGGUUCGGAAUAACUCCCCGAAAGGGGUGCUAAUACCGGAUAAUGUCUUCGGACCAAAGAUUUAUCGCCUUUGGAUGGGCCCGCGUUGGAUUAGGUGGUUGGUAGGGUAAAAGCCUACCAAGGGGACGUUCCAUAGCUGGUCGGGGAGGAGGCCCAGCCACACUGGAACUGAGGCACGGCCCAGACCCGUACGGAGGGGUGGGGUGGGGAACAUUAGGGGAGGGGGGAAAGCCUAGCCCAGCAGCGCCGGGGAAGAGGGGAAGGCCGUAGGGUAGUAAAGCUGUUUGACCCGGGACGUUAAUGACGGUACCGGGAAAAGAAGCACCGGCUAACUCCGUG
Molecule: ribosomal RNA, 433 nt
Filed under: uncultured bacterium
Lineage: Bacteria
Description: partial 16S ribosomal RNA
Rfam family: Bacterial small subunit ribosomal RNA
Source: RNAcentral